This 574-nucleotide unclassified non-coding RNA is filed under the name Leptobacillium leptobactrum. Its description in RNAcentral is "sequence contains 18S rRNA gene, ITS1, 5.8S rRNA gene, ITS2, 28S rRNA gene". The stretch from base 184 to 337 matches the Rfam family "5.8S ribosomal RNA". The record is from RNAcentral. Lineage: Eukaryota; Fungi; Ascomycota; Sordariomycetes; Hypocreales; Cordycipitaceae.
GUAACAAGGUCUCCGUUGGUGAACCAGCGGAGGGAUCAUUAUCGAGUUAUUCAACUCCCAAACCCUAUGUGAACUUACCACUUGUUGCUUCGGCGCGCGCUUCGGCGCCGCCGAGGACACUUAAACUCUUUGUUUUUAUAAGCAUUUCUGAGUGGCCGAAAGGCAAAAAUACAAAUGAAUCAAAACUUUCAACAACGGAUCUCUUGGUUCUGGCAUCGAUGAAGAACGCAGCGAAAUGCGAUAAGUAAUGUGAAUUGCAGAAUUCAGUGAAUCAUCGAAUCUUUGAACGCACAUUGCGCCCGCCAGCAUUCUGGCGGGCAUGCCUGUUCGAGCGUCAUUUCAACCCUCGAGCCCGACUCUUUUGAGGACGGCUCGGCGUUGGGGGACGGCAGACUCCCCCCGGCAUCUCGCCGGGGACGCCGCCCCCGAAAUCUAGUGGCGGCCCUCCGAGGCGACCUCUGCGUAGUAACUUGUUCUCGCACCGGAAAGCUCAGAGCGGCCACGCCGUAAAACCCCAACUUUUUUCAGGUUGACCUCGAAUCAGGUAGGACUACCCGCUGAACUUAAGCAUAUC